Molecule: ribosomal RNA, 496 nt
Filed under: uncultured bacterium
Lineage: Bacteria
Description: partial 16S ribosomal RNA
Rfam family: Bacterial small subunit ribosomal RNA
Source: RNAcentral
GAUGAACGCUGGCGGCGUGCCUAAUACAUGCAAGUCGAGCGAACAGACGAGGAGCUUGCUCCUCUGACGUUAGCGGCGGACGGGUGAGUAACACGUGGAUAACCUACCUAUAAGACUGGGAUAACUUCGGGAAACCGGAGCUAAUACCGGAUAAUAUAUUGAACCGCAUGGUUCAAUAGUGAAAGACGGUUUUGCUGUCACUUAUAGAUGGAUCCGCGCCGCAUUAGCUAGUUGGUAAGGUAACGGCUUACCAAGGCAACGAUGCGUAGCCGACCUGAGAGGGGGAUGGGCCACACUGGAACUGAGAACCGGUCCAGCCCCCUACGGGAGGCAGCAGUAGGGAAUCUUCCGAAAGGGGGGAAAGCCGGACGGAGCAACGCCGCGGGAGGGAUGAAGGUCUUCGGAUCGUAAAACUCUUUUAUUAGGGAAGAAAAAAUGUGUAAGUAACUAUGCACGUCUUGACGGUACCUAAUCAGAAAGCCCCGGCUAACUACGU